AGAUGGCAGCCUACAAAAUAACCCUACAGGUCGUCAUCCAUGUACAUCGAACUCUGGAAUCCUGUAGGAGCUCCACAGCUAGCCAUGCUCUCUAUGUAGUUCCAUGUUCACCUACAAUGCAAGAACUACAUAAGCCAAUGCUUAGUAAGCAAAAUCAUGCAUGUCCUGAACAUGAGUAAUAACGAUAUAUGACACCAUGCCAUUUACUUUAAAUAUCACGAUAAAAAUAUCAUAUUUCAAUAUUCAUCAAAGUCGACUAGAAAUCAUUUCACUUGAAAUCUUUCAUUUCAUUGGGCCCUUGACCCACCUACUAUGCACCGGAUAGAGCUCUACAUAAUAUCAAUAUCAAUAAUCAAGUGGCCAAUAUGAAAUCGACACCGGCGAGUGGACCAUCCUCUCGUGACCACUAGAGGCCCAUCCCCUAACUACCCCUAUGAUCACCCAAGAAGUCUCCCACCCGACAGCGCCAAUAAUCAUAACAAGGGCAUAGUCGAGUGGUCCGCCCUCCCGUGAUCACCAAAGGCCCA
RNAcentral lists this long non-coding RNA (527 nucleotides) under Olea europaea (common olive). Its description in RNAcentral is "long non-coding RNA (OEUR_LNC014063)". The record is from RNAcentral. Lineage: Eukaryota; Viridiplantae; Streptophyta; Magnoliopsida; Lamiales; Oleaceae.